RNAcentral lists this ribosomal RNA (420 nucleotides) under Fusobacteriota bacterium. Its description in RNAcentral is "Fusobacteria bacterium partial 16S ribosomal RNA". It matches the Rfam family "Bacterial small subunit ribosomal RNA", at positions 355 to 776 of the family's 1533-position model. Lineage: Bacteria; Fusobacteriati; Fusobacteriota. The record is from RNAcentral.
UGGGGGAUAUUGCACAAUGGGCGAAAGCCUGAUGCAGCGACGCCGCGUGGGGGAUGAAGGCCUUCGGGUUGUAAACUUCUUUUGCUCUGAACAAGGCAUGCCUUUGGGGUGUGUUGAGUGUAGGGGUUGAUUAGCGCCGGCUAACUACGUGCCAGCAGCCGCGGUAAUACGUAGGGCGCGAGUGUUGUCCGGAAUUAUUGGGCGUAAAGGGCUUGUAGGUGGCUGGUUGCGUCUGUCGUGAAAGCUCAUGGCUUAACUGUGGGUUUGCGGUGGGGACGGGCUGGCUUGAGUGCAGUAGGGGAGGAGGGAAUUCCUGGUGUGGCGGGGGAAUGCGCAGAUAUCAGGAGGAAUACCGGUGGCGAAGGCGGGUCUCUGGGCUGUUACUGGCGCUGGGGGGCGAAAGCGUGGGGAGCGAACAGG